This 551-nucleotide ribosomal RNA is filed under the name Bacillus licheniformis. Its description in RNAcentral is "bacterial SSU rRNA". It matches the Rfam family "Bacterial small subunit ribosomal RNA", at positions 62 to 594 of the family's 1533-position model. The record is from RNAcentral. Lineage: Bacteria; Bacillati; Bacillota; Bacilli; Caryophanales; Bacillaceae.
UCGAGCGGACAGAUGGGAGCUUGCUCCCUGAUGUUAGCGGCGGACGGGUGAGUAACACGUGGGUAACCUGCCUGUAAGACUGGGAUAACUCCGGGAAACCGGGGCUAAUACCGGAUGCUUGUUUGAACCGCAUGGUUCAAAUAUAAAAGGUGGCUUUUAGCUACCACUUACAGAUGGACCCGCGGCGCAUUAUCUAGUUGGUGAGGUAACGGCUCACCAAGGCAACGAUGCGUAGCCGACCUGAGAGGGUGAUCGGCCACACUGGGACUGAGACACGGCCCAAACUCCUACGGGAGGCAGCAGUAGGGAAUCUUCCGCAAUGGACGAAAGUCUGACGGAGCAACGCCGCGUGAGUGAUGAAGGUUUUCGGAUCGUAAAACUCUGUUGUUAGGGAAGAACAAGUACCGUUCGAAUAGGGUGGUACCUUGACGGUACCUGACCAUAAAGCCACGGUUAACUACUUGCCAGCAGCCGCGGUAUUACGUAGGUGGCAAGCGUUGUCCGGAAUUAUUGGGCGUAAAGCGCGCGCAGGCGGUUUCUUAAGUCUGAUG